UACGUAGGACGCAAGCAUUAUCCGGAAUUACUGGGCGUAAAGAGCGCGCAGGCGGAUCACUAAGUCAGGUAUGAAAGCUCUGGGCUAAACUCGGAGAGGCUACAUGAGACUGGUGAUCUAGAGUGGGGAAGAGGGGCGUAGAAUUCCGCGUGUAGUGGUAAAAUGCGUAGAUAUGCGGAGGAAUACCAGUGGCGAAGGCGACGCUCUGGUCCCCAACUGACGCUGAGGCGCGAAAGCAUGGGGAGUGAACGGG
Molecule: ribosomal RNA, 253 nt
Filed under: uncultured bacterium
Lineage: Bacteria
Description: partial 16S ribosomal RNA
Rfam family: Bacterial small subunit ribosomal RNA
Source: RNAcentral